AUUGAACGCUGGCGGCAGGCCUAACACAUGCAAGUCGAGCGGAUGAAGGGAGCUUGCUCCUGGAUUCAGCGGCGGACGGGUGAGUAAUGCCUAGGAAUCUGCCUGGUAGUGGGGGAUAACGUCCGGAAACGGGCGCUAAUACCGCAUACGUCCUGAGGGAGAAAGUGGGGGAUCUUCGGACCUCACGCUAUCAGAUGAGCCUAGGUCGGAUUAGCUAGUUGGUGGGGUAAAGGCCUACCAAGGCGACGAUCCGUAACUGGUCUGAGAGGAUGAUCAGUCACACUGGAACUGAGACACGGUCCAGAAUCCUAAGGGAGGCAGCAGUGGGGAAUAUUGGACAAUGGGCGAAAGCCUGAUCCAGCCAUGCCGCGUGUGUGAAGAAGGUCUUCGGAUUGUAAAGCACUUUAAGUUGGGAGGAAGGGCAGUAAGUUAAUACCUUGCUGUUUUGACGGUACCAACAGAAUAAGCACCGGCUAACUUCGUG
This 484-nucleotide ribosomal RNA is filed under the name uncultured bacterium. RNAcentral's name for it is "partial 16S ribosomal RNA". It matches the Rfam family "Bacterial small subunit ribosomal RNA", at positions 30 to 507 of the family's 1533-position model. The record is from RNAcentral.